GACGAACGCUGGCGGCGUGCUUAACACAUGCAAGUCGAACGGAAAGGCCCUGCUUUUGUGGGGUUCUCGAGUGGCGCACGGGUGAGUAACACGUGAGUAACCUCCCCUUGACUUUGGGAUAACUUCAGGAAACUGGGGCUAAUACCGGAUAGGAGCUCCUGCUGCAUGGUGGGGGUUGGAAAGUUUCGGCGGUUGGGGAUGGACUCACGGGUUAUCGGCUUGUUGGUGGGGUAGUGGCUUACCAAGGCUGUGACGGGUAGGCGGCCUGAGAGGGGGACCGGGGACAGGGGGACUGCGGGAGGGCGCAGUAGGGUACGGGAGGCAGCGGGGGGGAGUAUUGCGGAAUGGGGGGAAGCGUGAGGCAGCGGCGCGGCGUGCGGGAUGACGGGCUUCGGGGUGUAAACAGCUGUGGCCGGUGACGAGGCGUGAGUGACGGUAACGGGUAAGGAAGCACCGGCUAACUACGUG
Molecule: ribosomal RNA, 468 nt
Filed under: uncultured bacterium
Lineage: Bacteria
Description: partial 16S ribosomal RNA
Rfam family: Bacterial small subunit ribosomal RNA
Source: RNAcentral